Molecule: long non-coding RNA, 1506 nt
Organism: Ylistrum balloti
Lineage: Eukaryota; Metazoa; Mollusca; Bivalvia; Pectinida; Pectinidae
Exons: 2
Source: RefSeq, a predicted model, not a curated record
AUUGAUUAUUAAUCAUAAAUUCCAUGCAUACUCAAAGUAAUAUUCUUGAUACUCAAGAUUCCACUUCAGUAUUCCUUUCAGCACAAUAUUCAACCUAUAUAAAUAGAUGAUGAAGAGGUUGUAGCAGAACGGGGUCUGAACAAUUUCACUAUUUAAAAAUACAGAACAUCAUUAAAUCCGGAAUUUGUAAAUUUAUGCUGAAUGAGUAGAAGCACCUACUGAGAUAUCUAGAGGUCAUGGGGAAGGUCAUUCAGUCAUGUAAUUUUCCUACGUGUGUAUAAUUCAGUGACUUACAAUUGGUAUUUGUGAAACAGAUGUAUGGUACAUUCAUUUUGGAAAUAAAUUCCUCAUAUACAAUGGUUUCACCAUAGUGGUUGUCUGACCUUUUAAAGAACACUCAACAUCGUAUUUGUAUGUAAAAGUUCUGAAAAAUUUCAUCAUUUUUAAAUUAAAUUUUUCAAUGUCAUUUAUGAACACAGUUAAUCUUUUUAACUUUAUAAUUUGUGAGUGAUGUAUGGAUUCAUUGAACUGUUGUGUGCUUUGAUUUAAAUAAAAACCUGUUUUAUUGCCUUAAAAUCAGCACAAGGUUUAGCCACAAUGUAUAAAUUAAUUUGGGGUUGAUGCCCUCUACUUAUAAAGCUCAAUUAUGUAAUAUCAUGAUUUGAUAUCAUCUUAUCUUUCACCUGUACCUGCUUUCACAACAGCCAUGGUAUGAACCGUCUACACUCAUUUCAUCCUCAAAUCAAUUUCUAAAUCAAUAAAACAUAGUUCAUUUGUAUUUUACCUGACUAGAGAUAGCGUAAAAAAUAUAACUAUUGCUGAAGUUUUUAAACAGUAUUACUAUUUAUCUGAAAUGACGAUACAGAAGCUGAAUACAUAGCACCAAGUUUAUUACGCUAUGCAUGUAACAGGAAAUUUGCUUUAAGGUAAAUUUCUAAUGUAAACAUUUUUUUUUACAUUUACCCCAUAGGAUGUUGUUAUUGAUAGCUGUUUCACAAAAGAAAAUAUAUUAUUACGCCUCUCUAGUAUUUUCAGAAUAUGACAAGGAAAUAUUCUAAAACAGUACCAUUCAAUAAAAUUAAAGUUUGUUUAAAUCAACAUUUUUUACUAACAAUCUAUUUUAAUGUCCUGUGUCUUAUAACAAUGCAACGGCACUUACGUGUUUUGAUGACUUACUACUUCAUCAGGUAUCAGUGUAUAAGCAUUUGUAAGAAGCAGACACAUUGUGUGAUGCUGAUCAUAUUUGAGUAACACUGAUUCUCGGGUGUGGUAAAAGUGCUUAAUGAAUGACACAAGUGUUACACGAGUUAUAUGUCUCAUGGAUUGUUCAGUUAAUAUGUAUACCGUAUUGUGUUGCUUGUGUAAUAACUUUUUGAGUUCAUGUUGGAAUUUUCUCUCUUUUGUUGCCUAUAUAUAUACAUAUAUAAAAGAUUUUUUGUUAAGCUUCAUCAUUUCUUGUUUACUAUUGUUAUAUGAGAAAAUAAAGGUAAUUACAUGAUGACCUUA